This is a long non-coding RNA of Gymnogyps californianus (California condor), 979 nucleotides long. RefSeq lists it as uncharacterized. The record is from RefSeq and is a predicted model, not a curated record. Lineage: Eukaryota; Metazoa; Chordata; Aves; Accipitriformes; Cathartidae. The transcript is spliced from 11 exons.
GCAGCCAGUCAACAACAAAAAUGAAGUUCUAAGUUUACUAGAAAGCAUCCUAUAAGUGUACUGGAUUUAUGAUGAAAUUUCAAGUGAAGAAUUCGAAUGCCACGCUUGUCGCAGUGCUACCUGGAUCCAAGGUUGAGGUCUACCAUAAAUUCUGAAUGUCCUACUUAAGUAAAGAGUUGGUACUCCCUCCUGACCACAACUUUGGAUGGAGUUUCAACCACAAUCUUUGCCUGUCGCCAUUUGCUCUGGAGUGCAGUGUGUUCCUUGCAGUCUCCCUAAUCACAGCUUUUAUCUAGUGCUUGCUCACACUCUCAUCUGGUAUACUGGGGACUGGAGACUUGCCAUCAUUGUUCUCCAUUUUCCUGACAGAAGUCCUUGUAUUUAAGUUAUGACUCAUCAUCCUUCUUAAGAACAGUUCCUCUGGAUUUUAGCCAUUAGAUUUUCCUGUUCCUGAAAGGAGGCAUGUUCUGCUAAACUGUGCAAAUGUUCAAUAACAGCACAGACUUUGAAGUCCAUGAUGUUUCUGCUACAGCACAUGUCCUUUGUACCUUGGCAUUGCUAAUCAGAUCACAGAGGGAGAAACAACUGUGCUGGAAGUGCUCAUAUGAAGGGAACAACACUGACUCAGGGCAAUUCCUUAAUUUUGAAAUGUGGCACUUUCCACAAUUACCAUAGCCCUGUCUGAAAUCCUGACAUGAGAGAACUGCAGCCAGCCUCUCCCCAAAGAGUAAAAUGAUUUCGGACUCUAUCACAUCGCCUCGAUCAACAUUUUUAGCUGUGGUAACUGUUACAUUUCAUUUAAAAGUGUGGCGAUAAAAGACUUCAAGUUUUAAGAAACAAAAUAUAUCCAUCACAAAAAGAAGAGUCUGUUGUUCAGCGUGAACAGAGGUAACCAACCAUUGACUUCAUCCCUAUUAGCUCCUAUCAUGUUUUAUGCUGUUAUUUCAUGCACUGUGUAAUUAUUAUAAGCAAUCCUCAA